RNAcentral lists this ribosomal RNA (500 nucleotides) under uncultured bacterium. Its description in RNAcentral is "partial 16S ribosomal RNA". It matches the Rfam family "Bacterial small subunit ribosomal RNA", at positions 30 to 523 of the family's 1533-position model. The record is from RNAcentral.
AUUGAACGCUGGCGGCAGGCCUAACACAUGCAAGUCGAGCGGAUGACGGGAGCUUGCUUCUUGAUUCAGCGGCGGACGGGUGAGUAAUGCCUAGGAAUCUGCCUGGUAGUGGGGGACAACGUUUCGAAAGGAACGCUAAUACCGCAUACGUCCUACGGGAGAAAGCAGGGGACCUUCGGGCCUUGCGCUAUCAGAUGAGCCUAGGUCGGAUUAGCUAGUUGGUGGGGUAAUGGCUCACCAAGGCGACGAUCCGUAACUGGUCUGAGAGGAUGAUCAGUCACAAUGGAACUGAGACACGGUCCAGACUCCUACGGGAGGCAGCAGUGGGGAAUAUUGGACAAUGGGCGAAAGCCUGAUCCAGCCAUGCCGCGUGUGUGAAGAAGGUCUUCGGAUUGUAAAGCACUUUAAGUUGGGAGGAAGGGCAGUAAGCUAAUACCUUGCUGUUUUGACGUUACCGACAGAAUAAGCACCGGCUAACUCUGUGCCAGCCGCCGCCGUAA